This 29-nucleotide non-coding RNA is filed under the name Rattus norvegicus (Norway rat). Lineage: Eukaryota; Metazoa; Chordata; Mammalia; Rodentia; Muridae. The record is from RNAcentral.
UCACAACCAUCUGUAGUGGGAUCCGAUGC